UGGGGAAUAUUGCACAAUGGACGAAAGUCUGAUGCAGCAACGCCGCGUGGAGGAUGACACAUUUCGGUGCGUAAACUCCUUUUAUAUAGGAAGAUAAUGACGGUACUAUAUGAAUAAGCACCGGCUAACUCCGUGCCAGCAGCCGCGGUAAUACGGAGGGUGCAAGCGUUACUCGGAAUCACUGGGCGUAAAGAGCGUGUAGGCGGGUAUAUAAGUCAGAAGUGAAAUCCAAUAGCUUAACUAUUGAACUGCUUUUGAAACUGUAUACCUAGAAUGUGGGAGAGGUAGAUGGAAUUUCUGGUGUAGGGGUAAAAUCCGUAGAGAUCAGAAGGAAUACCGAUUGCGAAGGCGAUCUACUGGAACAUUAUUGACGCUGAGACGCGAAAGCGUGGGGAGCAAACAGG
Molecule: ribosomal RNA, 404 nt
Filed under: uncultured bacterium
Lineage: Bacteria
Description: bacterial SSU rRNA
Rfam family: Bacterial small subunit ribosomal RNA
Source: RNAcentral